UUAAAUGUAAAAUUUAAUUCUAGUUUUUUGUGAUAAUUUUAUAUUAAUUUUAAUAUGUAAGUAUUUGCGUGAAUUUAUAUUUAUUUAAAUAAUAAAUUAUUUAUAUUAUUCGCAGUUUUUAAUUUUGUACAUAAUUUAAUAAUUUAAGAUACAUUUAAUUAUAUAAUGACUAGCAAAAAUUGUGCCAGCAGCUGCGGUUAUACAAUUGGUCAGGAUUAUUAUUUUUAGAGUAUUAUUAUUUAUUAAUAAUAAAUUUAUUGAUUAUAUACUUCAGAUUUUAAAGUGAAAUUUUAAAUUUGACUAUAAUGAUUAGGUAAAUAUAUAAAAUAUUAUAAGAUAUUUUUAAUAAUAAACUAGGAUUAGAUACCCUAUUAUUAAAAAUGUAAAUUUUUCUCUCAGUAUUAAUAGUUAAGAUCUUUAAAUUGAAAGAAUUUGACGGUAAUUUUAAUCAUUUUAGAGGAACCUGUUCUGUAAUCGAUAAUCCACGAUAAAUUUUACCUUUAAUAUUUAUUUGUUUGUAUAUCUCUGUCUUAUAGAAUGUUUUAUUAGAAUAUUUUCAUUAAUUUUUAGUAAAAAUUAUGUCAGGUCAAGGUGCAGCUGUGUAAAGGUUUGAAAUGGGUUACAUUAAUUUGUUAAUUUUGGAUAGUUUUUUUAUAAGGGGCUUGAAAUUGGAUUUAAUUGUAAUGUAUAAAAUAUAUUAUUCAUGAUAUAUGUUCUUGAUUAAGUACAUAUCGCCCGUCACUCUCAUUAUAUAAGAUGAGAUAAGUCGUAACAAAGUAGUUCUACUGGAAGGUGGAGCUAGAUUAAUA
This 809-nucleotide non-coding RNA is filed under the name Eysarcoris aeneus. Lineage: Eukaryota; Metazoa; Arthropoda; Insecta; Hemiptera; Pentatomidae. The record is from RNAcentral.